Molecule: ribosomal RNA, 2547 nt
Filed under: Escherichia coli
Lineage: Bacteria; Pseudomonadati; Pseudomonadota; Gammaproteobacteria; Enterobacterales; Enterobacteriaceae
Description: 23S ribosomal RNA
Rfam family: Bacterial large subunit ribosomal RNA
Source: RNAcentral
UGUGAGCUCGAUGAGUAGGGCGGGACACGUGGUAUCCUGUCUGAAUAUGGGGGGACCAUCCUCCAAGGCUAAAUACUCCUGACUGACCGAUAGUGAACCAGUACCGUGAGGGAAAGGCGAAAAGAACCCCGGCGAGGGGAGUGAAAAAGAACCUGAAACCGUGUACGUACAAGCAGUGGGAGCCUCUUUUAUGGGGUGACUGCGUACCUUUUGUAUAAUGGGUCAGCGACUUAUAUUCUGUAGCAAGGUUAACCGAAUAGGGGAGCCGAAGGGAAACCGAGUCUUAACUGGGCGUUAAGUUGCAGGGUAUAGACCCGAAACCCGGUGAUCUAGCCAUGGGCAGGUUGAAGGUUGGGUAACACUAACUGGAGGACCGAACCGACUAAUGUUGAAAAAUUAGCGGAUGACUUGUGGCUGGGGGUGAAAGGCCAAUCAAACCGGGAGAUAGCUGGUUCUCCCCGAAAGCUAUUUAGGUAGCGCCUCGUGAAUUCAUCUCCGGGGGUAGAGCACUGUUUCGGCAAGGGGGUCAUCCCGACUUACCAACCCGAUGCAAACUGCGAAUACCGGAGAAUGUUAUCACGGGAGACACACGGCGGGUGCUAACGUCCGUCGUGAAGAGGGAAACAACCCAGACCGCCAGCUAAGGUCCCAAAGUCAUGGUUAAGUGGGAAACGAUGUGGGAAGGCCCAGACAGCCAGGAUGUUGGCUUAGAAGCAGCCAUCAUUUAAAGAAAGCGUAAUAGCUCACUGGUCGAGUCGGCCUGCGCGGAAGAUGUAACGGGGCUAAACCAUGCACCGAAGCUGCGGCAGCGACGCUUAUGCGUUGUUGGGUAGGGGAGCGUUCUGUAAGCCUGUGAAGGUGUGCUGUGAGGCAUGCUGGAGGUAUCAGAAGUGCGAAUGCUGACAUAAGUAACGAUAAAGCGGGUGAAAAGCCCGCUCGCCGGAAGACCAAGGGUUCCUGUCCAACGUUAAUCGGGGCAGGGUGAGUCGACCCCUAAGGCGAGGCCGAAAGGCGUAGUCGAUGGGAAACAGGUUAAUAUUCCUGUACUUGGUGUUACUGCGAAGGGGGGACGGAGAAGGCUAUGUUGGCCGGGCGACGGUUGUCCCGGUUUAAGCGUGUAGGCUGGUUUUCCAGGCAAAUCCGGAAAAUCAAGGCUGAGGCGUGAUGACGAGGCACUACGGUGCUGAAGCAACAAAUGCCCUGCUUCCAGGAAAAGCCUCUAAGCAUCAGGUAACAUCAAAUCGUACCCCAAACCGACACAGGUGGUCAGGUAGAGAAUACCAAGGCGCUUGAGAGAACUCGGGUGAAGGAACUAGGCAAAAUGGUGCCGUAACUUCGGGAGAAGGCACGCUGAUAUGUAGGUGAAGUCCCUUGCGGAUGGAGCUGAAAUCAGUCGAAGAUACCAGCUGGCUGCAACUGUUUAUUAAAAACACAGCACUGUGCAAACACGAAAGUGGACGUAUACGGUGUGACGCCUGCCCGGUGCCGGAAGGUUAAUUGAUGGGGUCAGCGCAAGCGAAGCUCUUGAUCGAAGCCCCGGUAAACGGCGGCCGUAACUAUAACGGUCCUAAGGUAGCGAAAUUCCUUGUCGGGUAAGUUCCGACCUGCACGAAUGGCGUAAUGAUGGCCAGGCUGUCUCCACCCGAGACUCAGUGAAAUUGAACUCGCUGUGAAGAUGCAGUGUACCCGCGGCAAGACGGAAAGACCCCGUGAACCUUUACUAUAGCUUGACACUGAACAUUGAGCCUUGAUGUGUAGGAUAGGUGGGAGGCUUAGAAGUGUGGACGCCAGUCUGCAUGGAGCCGACCUUGAAAUACCACCCUUUAAUGUUUGAUGUUCUAACGUUGACCCGUAAUCGGGGUUGCGGACAGUGUCUGGUGGGUAGUUUGACUGGGGCGGUCUCCUCCUAAAGAGUAACGGAGGAGCACGAAGGUUGGCUAAUCCUGGUCGGACAUCAGGAGGUUAGUGCAAUGGCAUAAGCCAGCUUGACUGCGAGCGUGACGGCGCGAGCAGGUGCGAAAGCAGGUCAUAGUGAUCCGGUGGUUCUGAAUGGAAGGGCCAUCGCUCAACGGAUAAAAGGUACUCCGGGGAUAACAGGCUGAUACCGCCCAAGAGUUCAUAUCGACGGCGGUGUUUGGCACCUCGAUGUCGGCUCAUCACAUCCUGGGGCUGAAGUAGGUCCCAAGGGUAUGGCUGUUCGCCAUUUAAAGUGGUACGCGAGCUGGGUUUAGAACGUCGUGAGACAGUUCGGUCCCUAUCUGCCGUGGGCGCUGGAGAACUGAGGGGGGCUGCUCCUAGUACGAGAGGACCGGAGUGGACGCAUCACUGGUGUUCGGGUUGUCAUGCCAAUGGCACUGCCCGGUAGCUAAAUGCGGAAGAGAUAAGUGCUGAAAGCAUCUAAGCACGAAACUUGCCCCGAGAUGAGUUCUCCCUGACUCCUUGAGAGUCCUGAAGGAACGUUGAAGACGACGACGUUGAUAGGCCGGGUGUGUAAGCGCAGCGAUGCGUUGAGCUAACCGGUACUAAUGAACCGUGAGGCUUAACCUU